ACAUGUUGCAGACCAUGACGUUACACAAAUGCGGUAGCUUUAUUACAGUGGUAAAAAUGUUUGCGAUUUCAGCAAUCAAACUAGUAGUAUAUCGUUUAUACAAUCUGAAUAAAAUUUUGUUAUAUUAAAAUUUUCGUUAACUGAAAUAAAAAUAAAAAUUAAAACUUGUAUAAACAAUAAUAACGAUAUAUAAAAUCAAUAAUUCUAUCCACCUUAUUCCUACGCCCCAUGACACACCCAUGACCAAUUAUGGGUGUAACUUCCAUUAAGCUGUAAACAAUCAGUAAAAAGCUCGCUCUAUGAAUGCAAAAAUACGUUUGUUUUUUUUUUGUUUUGUUUUUUAAAGUGGGUACAAUGAGAUGACAUUAUUCUACUCACCCUUCAACCAUCGAACAUUAAAAGGACAUUUAAAAGUGUGAAAGUAUCAACGAAAUGCAACGAAAAAAAAGAAAAUAAUCAUGAGGAACAGAAUGCAGCGACUGAAAAGAGCUCUUGCCAUAGAUAUUCUUGUUAUAACAUGUCACGUUAAAAUACCAACUGUUACGUUAUUCUCAUGAUAAAAAAAUGAAGGGAAAUUGACAGCUCAUUCAGUCAAACUGACGGAUAAACUUGAUUUGUAAGGCAACCAUUUGAUUUGAAAUUAUUCAUUUCAGUCUUUUAUAAUGGAAGUUCCCCAAACCGGAAGUGCAAACCCAUAAUACAAAGGAAUAAGGUGGAUAAAUCAAAUUCAUACUAAAAUUUGUGUAUUGUGUUUGGCCAUUGAAUCACACUCAAAAUCCAAGUGUAGGGAGGUAGAGAGAGUUUGCAUAACUGUAUAAAAGAGUACAAAAAUAACUUUUUGUACUACUAUUAAUCAGUAUUUCCUGCAGACUGGGGUGUCCCAUACUGCUGAACUAACUUCUUUUCAGGUGCGGGUAAAGUUUACCUCUCCUUUCCUCUGACAUGAUUUUGUAUGGCAGUAGUAAAUACACACUGCACCAUUGUCUUUUUUCCAUUUUAUGACGGGUGGUAACCAGCGUUAAAGUGCAAUAUUGCCAACUACAAUGCUCGAGUGUCAACCAGAUAGUUACUGGAGGUGCUGGAUUAUUUACGACACUACUGAAUGUGUAAUAUUAGUAUAAUAUCAAUAUUUCAUGAUUUAAAUAUUAUGGUUGUUGUCAAAGCCAGUAUAUUGCAACUCCCCUAAAACUAAAGCAAAAAUGUAUUUUGGUUUUUAAAUACGUGAUAUAUUAUAUAACUUGAAACCUUUACAACCCACCUACCUAAAACAAGACAAUACCAUUUUCAAGAAAAUACUAACACAGCAAAGACAGCAAUAACACAGAUAAGACAGAAAUGUAACACGGAUAAUGCUGUUAUUAUCACUUUUAAAUGAUACCAGUUAUCGUACAUCAACCGUGGAACUGUGAAAAUAAAAUACAAAUAAAAAUGAAAAAUCUGUUAAAUUAAGUCAAUACUGAAAUCCGUUGUAACAACUAAAGAAAAAACACGCCUAUAUAUCAAAACAAUGAAGCUGCAUGAUUUUUUUAUUAACCCGCCAACCAAAAGAUCUGAAUGAUCAAAUAUUAAUGAACAGUUUUGGAGCUCUUGACCGAACCCCCUGCAAAUCGGUAUGUUUUAACACUACAUCAGCUCACUUUGAAUAAACCAGCCCAGAGAUUUGUUUAACAGUCACUGGAGUAUGUAAAUACCAUUGAGCACUUUUCACAAGUGCCAACACAAGAGAGGGGCGCGUCGAGUUCUGUCGAGGGGGUUAAUAAGGGAUGUAUAAAUAGGCCGGCAAUAUUAAAUAUUGAGAUUACAUUCAGAGGCAUGGAACAAUUAAAAUGUGACUGUGUAGAGAGGCUCCCAGGGAGGCUCCCUAUUGAUCACAGUUCUGCCAGGCAAGACCAGAGCUCUUGUUUUGAUACUCAGAUAGGUAGUGAUCUAAGCAUCUCAAGGGAUCAAUUGAAAAGCGCAGCCACAAAAACAGCCAAUUAGUAGCCACACUCCACAGCCUCCCUCUCUCUCUCUCUAUCUCUCCACCCCUCCCGCUCACUCUCUUCCUCUCGUUCUAGUACAUUCCAAAGGCCUCGCUUGUUUAUUUUCUCCACGCAGACUCGGUUUCUAAACACACCAAAAUACUUUUAUACGGUACACAACAAGGAGCUCGAUACCUUGGACCGGGUAACGCCAAAUGCAAAUGAACCUCUCAUGCCCUUCUUUCCCUGUAAGACCAUCCACGUUCCCCUGUCUGAAUUCCAUGUUCUGAGUUCUGGAACCCUGGUGCAAUUCAUUAUCCCUGUCAAGUUAAUGUUCCGUGUUGAGCCAUAUGGUGAGGCUAACACGCGCAAUAAAGGAAAUUCCUUCAACUUGUUAUAAUCAGCACAUUGGGCUGUCCAAAAACUGACAUAAACAGCUUUAUUGUGUUUGCUGCAUUUUCUCUUAAAAUUCCUGACAAAAACAGGAAAGCAAGCAGGAAAGGAGAGCGGGGGGCUGGGGCUAAACUUGGAGGCCAGCAAAAGGAGGGAGGGAGAGUGAGGUAAAGAAAAAGAAAGCUCUACAUCUGUCUAAAGUUUGUGUCGGCAAGAACCUUGAGCUAUCAGUGCAGAGUCCUGAACGCUCGAUGCCCACACACGAACACAAGCAAACACACACAAACACUCACAGACAUCACAAUGCCAAACAAAGCAGCACACCCACUCGCUGACUGGCUCUGUGGCUUUUAAAAUGGAUCCUUUUGUUUCCUCUUCUGGAGUGUUUGUGUAUCUCUCUGUUGUUUCUGAAGCUUUUUUGAUGUUAAGACGAGUUCUUUUUGACAGUCGCCAAGGAUGGGGCCUGAAUCCAAGGGACCCGCCCGCCCUCUCCGGACCCUCCUUCGCACGAUGCCACCCGAGAAGUCAUUAGAUGGAAUGAAUAGAUCAAUUAAAAGGAGGGAGAAAGGACAGGAUUAAGGACGAAUCAGAAGAAAGAUGGAAGACUAAAGAGGAAUUAUGGGAGUGGAGAAUGAGGCUGCCGUCUUAAGCCCAUCCAGAAUCUCACAGGUUUGCAGGAUCUUCUGACUCACCAGAUGGGAAAAAAGGACCUGUGUGUGGACUUGUCAACAAACGCAGCAGCUGGAUUUGUCCUAAACACCCCCACCUCAAAAAGUCAAUGGGACGGACCAGGUCUGCGCAAUGUGAUUUUCUAUUGCUACUGGGGGGAAAAAGAGGGGAAAAUGUUUUCUUUUGACCUCUGCGGUCCCAAACUUAGCCACCCUCUCCAGCCAAUGCCCGCUACUCCCUGAUAUGAGACGGCGAGAGAGAGAGAGAGAGAGAGAGAGAGAGAGAGAGAGAAAUGCAUUACUGCAGACCAGAUGGGAACAUUCCACAUGACCAAACCAAUCAAUCACCUUGGUGGGACGCAGGUGCGCCACAGCCGUGCAGCAACACACCAUUUCACAGUCUAUCGGCCACAAACACAUGGUCACCAAUCAAUGGCCCCCUGAGGAUGCGCGCUUCUCCCCUACCCCACUGGUUCAUGGCUGAUGACUUCAUAAUCACACAUCCCUCUCCCUCUCUUCCCUCCUCUUCUCGCUCUCCACCCUCGGCGGAGGAGUGUGAUGAGCUAUCUAAUAACCCUUUCUUUCACGCACCCACCGCAGAUCUUGCCACGUUGGACGAUGACUCCCCUCAAGCUAACCCACGCAAACUCACGUGUUCGUGAGAUAGUCGCUCGUGGCCGGAGCCGAUGCCGUGCGUCGAGAAUGCGAUGGAAAAACAGGAGGGCGGGGCGUUCUUUUAUGUCCCAGGAUGGAUAUCGCAUCAUCUGAGCCACAUCAAAGGCGCUGCAGCCGGCUGGUAUCAGAUGCCAAGCAACUGUUAAACAAUGGGGCCUCACUGGAAGGAUGGAGAAGGAUGAAUGCAGGAGGGGAAUUUUGAUCCCACUCGGGCGGUGCUGCCGGCGUACUCUCAAACUCACACGCAAGCAUGCCAAAAUCCUGUUUAAAGACACAUUUCGGUAGCUGAGAGACUCAGAUAUCAGAGAACAGGCAUAUGUCAGAAGCAAUGAAAGAGUUGUCAGUAUUAAAACAUUUCUCUUUUCAUACUGCAGAAGUGUUUAGCAACACUUCUCAAGGUUCUGUCAGAGAGAAAUCGUGUCACAGAGAAGGAAGCGUGUGAACACAAUUCACUCUGUAUGUGUGAAAGUGUGUCCAGGGCUUGGACGGCGCCAACCCACAGGGAUAUUUUAAUACCGCUGGUGGAGAUGACAGUGUACUCACCAAAUUAUGCAAUGUUAUAGGUGCUGUGUUGUGACAUCAACAGGUCAAAGCACAGAAUAUAACAGCUGGAGCAUUGUAUUGUCCAAUCAGAAGCCAGGACUGGUACUAUCCAUUUUAUAAUAUACUCCUGUUCAAAAGUUUGGGGUCAGAAAGAUUUUUUUUUUUUUUUUUUAAGAAAUGAAUAUUCUUUUUUAGCAAGGGUGCACAUUUGAACUGUACCAAAAUAUGCAACUUUCUAUUCAUCAAUGCUUCUAAAGCAACAAAUUAGCAUAUUAGAAUGAUUUCUGAAGGAUCAUGUGACACUAAAGACUAGAGUAAUGAUGCUGAAAAUACAGCUUUACCAUCACAGGAAUAAAUUACAUUUUAAAAUAUAUCAAGUUAGAAAACUUAUUUUUUUAUCAAAUAAAUGCAGCCUUGGUGAGCACAACAGACUUACAAAAAGUCUUACAGACCCCAAACGUUUGAAUAGUAUAGUACUUUUUUUUUUGCCAGCAAUUAAGAUACAACUAAAGGUAAUUAAACAUAUAACAUGACAUUUAACUGUCAUAUUAAUCAGCCUGACUGAUACUCUAUUGUUACUCCCUGCUUUAUUAAAGGCCAAAAUUUGUUGACAUGAAGCUGAAGGAUAUCUUAAUUAAAGAGCAUUAUAGCAUCUAUAGUGCUGUAUAUGUGUGAUUAUUGUGAAGGUUUAAAGCUGAAGGUUGAAUUUGUUAUCCUUCACAAACAAUGACAGCCCCUUGGAUUCUAUACACUGUAUGUGUAUAUGUAGAUAAUGCUGGAGCGCUCCUGCAUUGAGAGUCUUACACACAGGCACUCAUUCAGAGGAUUCAUCUCUCCUCUCUGGAUUAGAUGUGGGGGAGGAUGGGUUAUUUCUAGGCAGACUGACUGCGCGCUCACCACCUGAGACCCCGAGCCAGGUGUGUGUGUGCAAGUAAGUGUGUGUAUAUGUAAGAGCAGCACCUGUGGGGCACAGCAGGAGCUCGGCUACACACAGGUGGGAGCCAGAAGCCCUACUGUCCAUCCCAUGAGCCCCCUCUCAUUUCAACAGGUCGUUCAGUAAUUAUACUCAACACAGCCCAUUAGCCAUCAGCCUUCAGAAGAACAUAUGCUCCAACAUUGCUCCACACCGCAUGCCUACGCGUGAAAGACUGUGGGGGAGAUCGUCUUCCAAUGGACACGGUGCCUGAAAAUACCUCUAAACGGCAUUUUCUACACUGAAAUGCUCAGUAGCUAUGAUAUGGUGGCAGUGAUGUAAAUAUUCACAAAAUAAUAAGGAAAACACAUAUUAAACAUAUUACAUCUCUGGGUAAUUUAGAUAAGGCAAUAAUUAUUAUGGCCAAUAACUGAUAAAUGUCGGAUAUUAAAAAUCAACGUUAUUUUAACUUUAAAAAAAAAAAAAAAAAAAAAAAGACAAAUAAA
This is a long non-coding RNA of Ctenopharyngodon idella (grass carp), 5659 nucleotides long. RefSeq lists it as uncharacterized. The transcript is spliced from 3 exons. The record is from RefSeq and is a predicted model, not a curated record. NCBI's taxonomy places the organism in Eukaryota, Metazoa, Chordata, Actinopteri, Cypriniformes, Xenocyprididae.